UUAUUUAACACCUUCUUAUCCGCCUGGCCCCUGUCUGCUCGGUUUUGGGUUGGGGUGACCGCGGAGCAUAAAAUAGCCUCCACGAAAGAAGGGAUGAUUCCCUCAUUUUAGAACUACACUUCCAAAGACUAACAAAUUAAUUUUAAGUGAUCCGAUACCCGUAUUCGAUCAACGAACCAAGUUACCCUGGGGAUAACAGCGCAAUCUACCUCAAGAGCCCCUAUCGACAGGUGGGUUUACGACCUCGAUGUUGGAUCAGGGUAUCCCAGUGGUGCAGCAGCUACCAAAGGUUCGUUUGUUCAACGAUUAAAACCCU
RNAcentral lists this ribosomal RNA (316 nucleotides) under Boophis reticulatus. Its description in RNAcentral is "partial 16S ribosomal RNA". It matches the Rfam family "Bacterial large subunit ribosomal RNA", at positions 2218 to 2597 of the family's 2925-position model. Lineage: Eukaryota; Metazoa; Chordata; Amphibia; Anura; Mantellidae. The record is from RNAcentral.